This 444-nucleotide ribosomal RNA is filed under the name uncultured bacterium. RNAcentral describes it as "bacterial SSU rRNA". It matches the Rfam family "Bacterial small subunit ribosomal RNA", at positions 370 to 793 of the family's 1533-position model. The record is from RNAcentral.
UAGGGGGGAAACCCUGAUGCAGCCAUGCCGCGUGUGUGAAGAAGGCCUUCGGGGUUGUAAAGCACUUUCAGUAGGGGAGGAAGGUAGUUGUAGUUUAACACCUGCACUUAUUUUGACGUUUACCUACAGAAGAAGCACCGGCUAACUCCGUGCCAGCAGCCGCGGUAAUACGGAGGGUGCGAGCGUUAAUCGGAAAUUACUGGGCGUAAAGCGCAUGCAGGCGGCCUGUUAAGUCAGAUGUGAAAGCCCGGGGGCUUAACCUCGGAAUUGCAUUUGAAACUGGCAGGCUAGAGUCUUGUAGAGGGGGGUAGGAAUUUCAGGUGUAGCGGUGAAAUGCGUAGAGAUCUGAAGGAAUACCAGUGGCGAAGGCGGCCCCCUCGGACAAAGACUGACGCUCAGACUGCGAAAGCGUGGGGAGCCAAACAGGAUUAGAUACCCUGGUGG